This 2690-nucleotide long non-coding RNA is filed under the name Mytilus galloprovincialis (Mediterranean mussel). Lineage: Eukaryota; Metazoa; Mollusca; Bivalvia; Mytilida; Mytilidae. The record is from RNAcentral.
UUCAUUCAAUCAAAGGUAAAAUGAAUCUGCUUGUAUUUUUCUUAUAUUUUAUGUUCAUGGGUUUUUCUAUGAGAUGCAAUGAUGUUUAUAUAAACAAAAUAUUAUAAGAUUAAUAUUCUGGAAAAAAUCUGAUAAUAGUAAAUUGGUACAUUUUUAUAAUAGUAAUGUUUACUAAACUUUUGGACAAUACAUUUGUAACGCCUUAGCUUUUGUAGAAUUUUUGGGGAGGAUCAUGAUUUUUAAUCAAAUAUUGCCACCGUUCAAAGAUUUGUACAAAUAUACUUAAUUGUGAUCAAACAACAUGAAGAAAAAAUAAUCAAAUUCAGUGUAAUAUUUACUCAACUGUUGAUCAAUUUCAAUUAAAUGUCUACUUGAAGAUACAUAACCUGUAAAAAUAUUCAUGAACCAAAACAAUGUGAAGGGGAGACAAUUCAUUUGUCAUUGAUUUCUCUGAUGAAACUGACCUUGCAAGUGCUACUCCUCAUAACUGUUUGAUAUAGAUAAAACAUCACACAAAGUAAAGUACCUUUUAUAUGAAGAUGUGCAUGAAGCAAAGUAAUUUUAUGUAUCACAAGGUCUUCGAAUGAUUGAAAGUGAAAUUUCAUUUUGAUUAUUCAUAAUGUUGACCCUAUUAGUAAAACUCCUAAACCAUUUAAAAAGGAAUUCAAUAAAACUUCUUGCAAAAACAUUAACAAAAGGAUUUUAUUUGAGUGAACAUUGGUGAAACAGCAGAAACCAGAAGACUAGACAUCUUAAAUGAUAGACAAGCUUACAGAUAUAUGUUUAAGAAAAGCAUUAUACAUGUACCACCGAUGAGGCUAUAACAUCUUUAAUAUCAGACUAAUGACAAAAACAGUGCUUUUGGUGUUAUACAUGUUGGCAACUAUUGCAUCCUCAAAAAAAUGUAAAUUUAAAAAUUAUUGUUGCACAUUUAUUAUUGCGAUUUUCGAAGAAUAACAUAAAUGCAAGAUUAAUAAUUGUGAUUUUUUGAAAAUCUGCAUACAGAUAUUUGCACCAAGUAUCAGAAUGUGAGUAACUAUUAUUACAAUUCUCACCCGACCACAUUCUUUUCAGUAAUAAAAAUCUAGCUUUAAUUUCUGAAUUUAUAGUAUGUCUUUUUCUUUUGAAAAUAAAGAUGACAGCAAUAAUCAAAUCAACAUACAUGUACUUAAACAUUUCACUCACACCAUACAGGAUUUAAGCUAUCUGUAAUGAACCUAUACAAUUGCAUUUCCAGAUAUCAGAUAUAAAAAAAAAGAGUCCUCCCUGGUGUACCAACAUUUAACAAUUGAUUAAUAUUGAGUGAUUCUGUUUUUUGGUUCGAAGCAAAGUAAAAUAAUAUUGAAUGUUUAUUCAUUCAUGUAUCAUGUACAUCAAAGAUGCUCAUAUAUAUGUUUUUGUAAAAGUAUUUGUUUAAUUUGAAGUGACAUAUAAAAGCCAGAUUGUGUUUAUUUUUACUAAACAUUCGGUGUGUGAUGUUCUUGCCUGAAUAAUAUCAUAUUUGACAUUUAAUUAGGUCUAUUUGCUAGUUAUUUACUAGUCAAGUUAUGUUACAUUAAUAAAACAGUGUUUAAUCAAUGUGCCAUUCUGCAUUCACCAGAUAUGCUUCUUUAAUCCUUAACCUUGAGAUGUUAUAAAGCUCAACUCCUCGCUAAGGAAUGUUCACUUAUAUAAAAUUUAGAAUAGUUUGGGGGGGGGGGGGGGGGGGGGGGGGGGUGGGUGAGGUUCAAUUUAAAUCUCAAGGAAAACCAAAAACAUCUAAAUUUGUAUAUUUGAUGCUCUCUGCUUAGCAUGCAGCAUUUAUGAGAAAGAACCCUGUCAGAAUUACGUGUAAAAGUAAGGUUACCUUGUUAACUAGUACAUUUAAAAUGUCAGUGUAGUAAAAACAGACAGGGUUCAUAUUUUUAUUACAUUGACAUGUUCCAAUCCUAAAUUGCAUUUAAUUUGCCACCAGGAGUUAAACAGCCAUCCAUCAACUUUUCAUCUUUUCGUUUCUUUGUUUGAACAUGUUGAAUGUAUUAAUAAGAAAAUAAAACGCAUUCAUUAAUUUUAUCUUGUAAAAUGUUCCUUUCAUUAAUUUCAUAUUUAACAAUCCACUUUAGAUAGUAGCUAGUGUGAUAUUUUAUAAAUUGAUUAAUAAGUAAAUUGGUGCUUUGUAUUAACAGUCUGUCAUUGACAUAUUUUAAUGUUCUGUGGUUUUGCUAAUUAAUACAAAUGUAGUAAUUUUUGUUCCUUAUUAAAUUGAACUGUUAUAUGAAUUUGUACUUGUCAACAAUUGUAAUGUUUAUUGAAGAUGUUGUAGUUAUUAUUAUUAGUAAAUAGUUUCUGUAUUUUGGGAACCAAAGUAUAUUUUAUUCAAGUGAUUUCAUCAUUACUUUACUAUAUUUGUUAAUUAUGUAUUUUACAAAUUAAUUCAUGAAAGAUGUAAGCAUUACUUUAGUGUAUUUGUUAAUGAUAUAUUUUGCAAAUUGAUUCAUGAAACAUGCUAGCAUCAUAUUAAAGCACAGGCAUUUAUUUAAUUUUGUUUCUUAUUUCAACAUUAGUAUUCCAUGAGAAGGUGUAUUUACCUUUGAAAAAAAUUGGUCAGACUCAAAUGGCAGAACUAAUUGAAUGCAAUAUGAAUUAGAAUAGAGAAUGUAAACAGGAAAUGUGAUGAAGGCAACAAUCCAACCAAAGAGCCGAAAACACCC